Peromyscus californicus insignis is the source of this 2356-nucleotide long non-coding RNA. RefSeq lists it as uncharacterized. The transcript is spliced from 3 exons. The record is from RefSeq and is a predicted model, not a curated record. NCBI's taxonomy places the organism in Eukaryota, Metazoa, Chordata, Mammalia, Rodentia, Cricetidae.
UCGAGCUUCCCUGUCCGAGGCUUGUAAACAAACAGAAAUAAACCAUGCUAAUUGCAUUCUGAACCUAAGGUCUGUGGUGGUUAUCUUUGGGGUCCCAAUCUGGGCAUAACAGGACUUCCCCAGUCGACAAGGAACACGGAGCAGUCAGGGAGCUGCCUUUGAUGGGUGCUCAGUGGAGGGGCAGAGUGGCGGUAGAGCAUUGAUCUGAGCUGGCAAUCAGAUACACCAGGAUUUGCCAGUUCUAGGCUGCCAGGAUGCUGCUGGGAUCCCACGGGACCCUGCAUCACAGGCAGGCCCUGGAGGACAGGAAUUACAGCUCUUCCCACAACAAUAAUUUUUUUCUUCUCCUUUUGCAAAGAAUGGAGUCAGAAGGAACUGGAUUUCCUGAUCACUCUGCAGCACUCCCAAAGACAGCUAGCAGGUGUGCAGAGCACUGAGGAGCCAAAGGUGCACACAGACACCCUCAGGAGGACCCCUGAGGAAGGCAGAGCACCCCCACGAGUCCACAACCAGAAGUAAAUACCAGAAGAGAUACCAAGUAUUACCACUAGUGGGACCUACACUACAGGACAGAAAGUUCCUGUGUCUGCAUGAAAGAAGUGCUUGGAACCGUACAGGAACAAAAAAAACCAAAACAACAACAACAAAAAAGCUAUGCCACUGACAAGCCAGCCCAGCCCAGGCGGGCUCCUCCUCACUGUUGAGAAGAAGGCUAUGUCUCUCAACAAGCUUUCUUCUGACAAGUCCAUUCUGUCACUUCUUCGUAGGAGAGAAAUGAAACCUGGAGGCAAAUCCCUAACUCCAAGAAGCUCAAUGUGGUCAGGAUACUAAAACCUAUUAAUAGGAGAAGGGCACUGUAGAAAAAGAAAGCUACAGGGGUCCCCACCCCGGCCAUCAAUCUCCUUUACGAAGGCUCUGUUGUCAGUCUCUUGUUACAUUUCAUAAUAGGUUUUCAAAACGGAUCUUGGUUGUGAGACCCAAGGGGCAGACACAGUGCGUGCUCACGGCAGAGUGGCUCACAGAGAAGGGCCUGCAGACGCUGAUUGAAUUCGUUUGAUUGGAUUGAACUGAACAGAUUUAAAUGGAGAUUCUCAGGAUGAGGCAUUUAAUAAACCUUAGUCUAAUCGAACUAGACUGGCAAAAUAAAGCAUCGUAAAUCCAUAUCCUGGAACACUGUGACUUCCUGAGACAGUCAUCUCCCCGUCCCAAAGCAGCCCAGAGGGACCCAUUCAGGCUUCCCUGGUUGCUGACAGGGCAGUGUCUCCAGGAUUUACAAAUCCACUAGGAAAUGACAAUGAAAGUAACCAAUGGCUCCGUGCAGUUACCUCAUUUGCACGCUGUUAAAACUGCGUAAAAGGAUUUAUGUUUAGAGAGGCAUAGAUAUAUAUGGUACACCUAAAAUAUACAUCUAAUUUUAGAGUAGCUUAUUAAUGUAUUGACUCACGUCUAGCUGAGCACACCAGACGGACGCAUGAAUUCUUAAGUACUCUCCGAUAGCCCGAUUGAUUAGUGCACUGGUUUCCUAACAUAGUCCCAGUUAAUCACCCCCACUUGAUAGCUUGAAACAGCCGAAAUGGGUUCUCUCACCAGAGUCUGAGGUCAAGAUGGCAGCUGGGCUGGGUCAGUCUUGGAACCUGGCAGGGUGGAGUCCACUCUCUGCCUCUUUCCUGGCCUCUCGGGGUUGCCAGCAGUCCUUGGCAAUAUUUGACCAGUACCCACAUCAGUCCAGUUUCUCCCUCCAUUGCCCAAGUCUUCUCUCCCUCUGUCUCCACACGGCCACCAAUUCUUAGCUAAUUGCGUUUUCAAGAACUGUAUUUCCAAUUAGUUAGGAGUGUGAGGGUCCGUGCGGGUAUGAAUUUUAAGGGGGCACUGCUUAACCAUAUGCAAAUAGGUCUCAUGUAACUGAGCCUGGCCUUGAACUCUUGACCCUCCUGGUUCCACUUCCCCAGCACUUGGAUUACAAAGGUAUGUCCACCACAGUCGAUGCCAGUCCAACACAAAGCUCUAUCGAGUGAUGCUACCAUGUGACAUCAUCUAACUUAUCACUAAUUUGGGAAGAUAGUUUUCCCCCUUUUCAAGAUUUUUUUCAAACACAGAUAUUAGUAUUAUUUAGAUGCAAUUUUCAUGCAGUCAAGUUCACAGGUCUUAAAGUCACAUUUGAGUUUCAGCAAAAGCAUACACCAAUGCAGCCCAUACCCCACUCAAAAUAUUGACUGUUGAGCUGAGUACCCUAGUGGUAUAGCUCUUCCAGUAUAGCCCAGUGGUAGAGCACUUUCCUGGCACACACCAGGAUCUUGGGUUCGAUUUUCAAUACCUCAAAACAUUAAAUAAAUAACUAUUUUGUCUCCUUGGAAAG